Molecule: non-coding RNA, 74 nt
Organism: Podarcis lilfordi (Lilford's wall lizard)
Lineage: Eukaryota; Metazoa; Chordata; Lepidosauria; Squamata; Lacertidae
Source: the annotation of a GenBank genome assembly
UGUUUGUGUGGUGUGUGUGUGUGUGUGUGUGUACACAUGACACACACACACAUAUAUACACAUACAAUAAAAUG